Molecule: ribosomal RNA, 253 nt
Filed under: uncultured bacterium
Lineage: Bacteria
Description: partial 16S ribosomal RNA
Rfam family: Bacterial small subunit ribosomal RNA
Source: RNAcentral
UACGUAGGGGGCAAGCGUUGUCCGGAAUUAUUGGGCGUAAAGAGCGUGUAGGCGGUCCGGUAAGUCCGCUGUGAAAGUCCAGGGCUCAACCCUGGAAUGCCGGUGGAUACUGCCGGGCUAGAGUCCGGAAGAGGCGAGUGGAAUUCCUGGUGUAGCGGUGAAAUGCGCAGAUAUCAGGAGGAACACCGGUGGCGAAGGCGGUUCUCUGGGCCUUACCUGACGCUGAGGAGCGAAAGCAUGGGGAGCAAACAGG